RNAcentral lists this unclassified non-coding RNA (989 nucleotides) under Hevea brasiliensis (rubber tree). Lineage: Eukaryota; Viridiplantae; Streptophyta; Magnoliopsida; Malpighiales; Euphorbiaceae. The record is from RNAcentral.
UUCCAUGAAAAGGAGUUACAGCACCAUCAGAUUCUAAUAAGGAGGCUAACCGAUCAAGUGGAUCUGCAAUCCAACCCGGAAGCAAAAUUCUCAAUCUGACUUUAUUAGCUACCCAAUCUGCACAUUUGUUAGCAAACCGAAAGAGAGUUAAUCUAUUUUAUACUAGGGCUGUAAUCUUUAGACAGAAAACAUAAUUACUGCUCUAAGUGCCACGCCUUCUGAUGAAAGGGGCGGAAUAACUAACAAAAGAAGCUGCACAUCCAUCCAGAAGCUUCCCCAUUGAGUCACGCAUUAGAAUCCCACAACCUACUGCUGGCGAUGGUGAGUCAUAUGAACCAUCCAUAUUUAAUAAUUCCUUGAGAUGGAAAGGUCUAGUGUCCUGGAUUAUGCUGAGAGCAAUUCUGAAUUGAGGGCAAAGAAUGGUUUUGUGGAGAUGACAGAGAUUUCACCUCAUCAAAAUCAUUCUGAGCUCUCCUAAUAGUUAGGAGAGGAUUUGGAUCCACCGCUUGAAAAAUUGCAGCAUUCGUACUUUUCCAAAUAUGCUAGCACGAAAAGCUAGCCAAUCUUAUAUGAAAGUGAUAUGGAUUUGUGAAAUUAGCCAAAAGAAAUUGCCUCCUAUUAAGAAAAGAACCGACAUCACCUUCUCUCAGGGAAAUUCCCAAUGGCAAUCCAAACCUCGACAUUCUUGCAUGAGGGCGUUAAAACAACAUAUGCUCUAGAGUCGCAACAAGGCAAUCACACCAGGACAAUUAAGGGAGUCUGAGCACUUUCUUUUGAAUAUAUUUUCUUUAGCGGCAAGGGAGUUGCCACAACAUCUCCAGAUGAAAUUUUGAAUCUUUUGAGGCACUUGGAGGGACCAAAUUUGAUUCCAAAAAGAUGGGGAUGAAGGUAAAGAAGUUGAUGCAGCUGGAAGCACAGAUUCUUGAUCACUAGCCAUCUUAAGCUUAAAGUAUAGAGCUUUAACUGGCAGUGCACUAUCUUUGGAAAAG